UCCCUCUUUUCCUCCUCUUCCUUCUGUGGUCCCUACCUGCAACCCCCAGCUUGGUAACUCAAGUUCCACCUCCCUCUAUUCCUCCCAGUAAUUGGCUGUUGCCAGUUUUAUUUAACCAAUAGUUUUAAAGUGGGGAGCAAGAUUUACACAACAAAGGCUGGUGUAUGUGAGGAUCUGCUCAUCUUGGAGCAACCAGAUCUUGGGGUACUGAAGUGGAACUUUCUGGUUCCUUUGGAGAGUCAGUUGUGUCAUGUGAUGUUUUUCUGGAAACUAUCUUCUGAGAGAAUGUUUUUGUUGAAGCAGAUGCAUGGGAGAAUGUCUUGCUGAGAACAGACUCGUGGUGUUUUUCUGGAAGCUGCCUUGAAAGAGUCACGUGAUGUUUUGCUAGAGCAUAUCCUUGGAGAACAGUGUGAUGUUAGGGAACAGUAUAACUAUAAAUAUAACCAGCAGACAGUGGACCAUGCUGUAUGGUAUUGGUUUACCUUGCCACUUUUGGCUGACUCUGGUCAUCACUGAUGACACUGUAGCAUUGUUUUGCCUUGCCUUCUUCACUGGUCAUCAUUUGUUGUGACUUCAUAGAGAGAAACGGACCAAUAACUUCUGGUGAUGUUCCAGUUUCUUGCCUCUUUUGGGGACUUGGGCUGAUUGGUAGAGCCUCUCCGCCUCUUCUGAACAGAACAGCUGAUGCUCAUUCCUGUGAACUGAACUGCUGCUAUUCUGACAAAGAAGAUUGGGACUUCCCCAAAGAACUAUGUCUAAACAGAUCUUUUAUGUCAGCAAUAAAUGGAGUCCCUUUGGUUUAACUUCUGAUUGCUGUGAAGUGUCCUUGUCCUGUGGAAAGGUCUGGGAGCAUUUUCAAAGCAACUAAUAAGUAAACAUGACUGCUUUCAAGCCUUUGAAAGUCUAAACCAGGAGUCAGCGUAUAUUUUUCAAGGUGAUCUAGCACAUACAUAAACAGACUGCUGUAUCCCUAGAACACAGCCACCACACAGCCUUCAUUGGAGAUGCUUCUCACAGCACACGGGGUUUGUAGCAUCAGUUGUGGACGUUGUGCAGAGAGCGGGAGACUUUGGAACACUCAGCCCUAAAGAGGAUGUGUUUAUCAAACCCUUCCCUCAGGAAUCUACAAGAGAGAGCAGUGAGACCGUAAGAGGCAGAGGUGGUGGAGGACCUUUCAGACAUCACAGGACUGAUACCAAUUCACAGAGACUGCAAUAUCGUACAGUCUGCAUAGGUUUAAACCAGACAAAAUCCCAGCCCUGAGAAGGGGAGUGGACACAGAGUUCCAUCUCUAACCAAGAAGUUAUCUGGAGUUGAAACCUGCUGAGAGGGGAAUACCUGUUUUCUCCAAUGCAGUGAGACUGAGUGUUUCAACCACUCCAGAGCAGGCCCCGUGCCCAGCAGUUGUUGACCAA
Rattus norvegicus (Norway rat) is the source of this 1415-nucleotide non-coding RNA. The record is from RefSeq and is a predicted model, not a curated record. NCBI's taxonomy places the organism in Eukaryota, Metazoa, Chordata, Mammalia, Rodentia, Muridae.